CUAUAAAAAUCGACCUGUCACCAUAACACAUUGCACCAACAACUCUUCAUGGAUUUGAAUUUGCAGCCAAAGGGACCUUGCUGCAGGUGGGAUCAGUGCUUUAUGGUACCAUAUAUACCAUGCAGCUCCCCAAGAAGAAGAAUGGUGAGAUGGGUGUAUUUCUGUUGACAACCGGGUGAGUGGAUUCCAUGCUAUGCUUGCGAAGUGAUCAGUCUUUUGCAGAUCAGUCUUUGUUUCGUUGUCUGUUCGACCUUGAACAUGCGUGUUUGGGAUUACAUAUUAAAACCCUAGUUAGCUAGAAUUUCUUUGCUAGCUCCAACAUGAUGCAACAAAAACAAAUCUAUUAAUUAUUAUCAUAUAUAUAUAACUAUUCCAUGGGAUACAAAAUCCUAUGGAUUUCUUCUUAGCACGAUUUUCUUGAUCAUUAAGAUCUAAAUCUGAUGAGAAAGUUCUGCAGGUCAUCGAAAUUGAUCAUGACUAACACCCUGACUUCUUUUGUUUCUUUUUUUUUACCUUUCCUUUAUCACGAGAAAAACAAUAUAAUUUCUGAUCGGUGCAAGAACUAUAUAGUAAAAGCUUUGAGAAUUGGGUUGCUAAAGAAAAAUAAAUUAAAAGUAAUUAAAUCAUUUUUAUCCAAAAAGGAAAACCAAGAAUGAUAAAAUGAUAGUUCGAACAGAAUAAUAACCUUUAAGGUCGAACACAUGACGAAUGUAAGGCAAAAGCAAAAGACUGCUUAUUUGGCAAGUGUUUGCAUGGAACUUGAUCCGCCCUAGUUAAGUUUUGAAGGCAGCUCCGAUGUAAAUAACUACAACAAAUUUAAAGGGGUCAAGCGCCAAAGAUCGUCUUCCAACCAAAAUUAGUAUCCUCAGUUCUUGGAGUGUCGAUCAAGAUGAAGAUGGAAAACCCAGAUAUAUGGAGGUGAGAUCUCUCUCAUGCCCGCUUUUCAUCUUAUGUGAAUUUGUUUCUGUGGGGUAUUAUUUCUUUCUAGUUAUCCAAACAAGUCCUAGCUAACAAUUUAUUUUUUACGUAUUUUAUUGUGCUGGACGGAUCUUAGAUAAUACAAUAGAAAUAAUCCCUUUCCAAAUUCAAACCAAAAGAAGUAAGUAAUUAUGAUUUGUUAUAGGACAUAUUUUCUCUCUAGCUACACACCUAUCCAAUAUUUUCAAAAGAGUAAAAUGUGUUAAGCCUGGACUCUUGAAUAUUGAUCAAGAUAGUGAGACAUGGCACGAAUGGGUGAAGACAGGCUCGAAGAAGAAAGCAAUUAUGACGCCACUGCCUCCAGGGGUUUGUUCCCUCACUUCUUUUACUUAUCACUUUAUAUGAUUUUCAGUAAUGAUCUGUUAGUACAGCUAAUGAUCUCUUUCUAAUAUCCUUCGCAUUUUGGUUGCUACGAACCUUUUAUUUUAGUAUGUUUUAUGUAAUGUAUAGUACAAUGUACAUAGGCUUUACAUUCCUUAAUUAGGGUUUGGACUUUGAAGGAAUGGAGAAGUGUUCUGAUUGGACUUAACUGUGCUAGUGGAUCUGUAUUUGUUCAUUGCUUUGUGAUCUUGAAUUCAUGAGAAAAAAACAUUUUUAUUUUUUCCAUGUGAGACAAAGAUUACACACACACAUGUAUAUAUAUAUAUAAGUGUAUUGAUCAUGGAAGAGGAAGAGUUCUUAUUUUUUCAACAUGGAACAAAGUUUUAUGAUUGAAUUUUGGUA
Populus nigra (black poplar) is the source of this 1701-nucleotide long non-coding RNA. RefSeq lists it as uncharacterized. The transcript has 2 exons. The record is from RefSeq and is a predicted model, not a curated record. NCBI's taxonomy places the organism in Eukaryota, Viridiplantae, Streptophyta, Magnoliopsida, Malpighiales, Salicaceae.